Molecule: ribosomal RNA, 2378 nt
Filed under: Providencia stuartii
Lineage: Bacteria; Pseudomonadati; Pseudomonadota; Gammaproteobacteria; Enterobacterales; Morganellaceae
Description: partial 23S ribosomal RNA
Rfam family: Bacterial large subunit ribosomal RNA
Source: RNAcentral
GGGUGACUGCGUACCUUUUGUAUAAUGGGUCAGCGACUUAUAUUCUGUAGCAAGGUUAACCGAAUAGGGGAGCCGUAGGGAAACCGAGUCUUAACUGGGCGAAUGAGUUGCAGGGUAUAGACCCGAAACCCGGUGAUCUAGCCAUGGGCAGGUUGAAGGUUGGGUAACACUAACUGGAGGACCGAACCGACUAAUGUUGAAAAAUUAGCGGAUGACUUGUGGCUGGGGGUGAAAGGCCAAUCAAACCGGGAGAUAGCUGGUUCUCCCCGAAAGCUAUUUAGGUAGCGCCUCGUGAACUCAUCUUCGGGGGUAGAGCACUGUUUCGGCUAGGGGGUCAUCCCGACUUACCAACCCGAUGCAAACUACGAAUACCGAAGAAUGUUAUCACGGGAGACACACGGCGGGUGCUAACGUUCGUCGUGAAGAGGGAAACAACCCAGACCGCCAGCUAAGGUCCCAAAGUCAUGGUUAAGUGGGAAACGAAGUGGGAAGGCUCAGACAGCCAGGAUGUUGGCUUAGAAGCAGCCAUCAUUUAAAGAAAGCGUAAUAGCUCACUGGUCGAGUCGGCCUGCGCGGAAGAUGUAACGGGGCUAAACCAUGCACCGAAGCUGCGGCAGCGACAUGUAAAUGUUGUUGGGUAGGGGAGCGUUCUGUAAGCCUGUGAAGGUGUGCUGCGAGGCAUGCUGGAGGUAUCAGAAGUGCGAAUGCUGACAUAAGUAACGAUAAUGCGGGUGAAAAACCCGCACGCCGGAAGACCAAGGGUUCCUGUCCAACGUUAAUCGGGGCAGGGUGAGUCGACCCCUAAGGCGAGGCAGAAAUGCGUAGUCGAUGGGAAACAGGUUAAUAUUCCUGUACUGGUGAUAAUUGCGAUGGGGGGACGGAGAAGGCUAGGCUGGCCGGGCGACGGUUGUCCCGGUUUAAGGAUGUAGGUGGGUGAAUUAGGCAAAUCCGGUUCGCUAUACACUGAGGUCUGAUGACGAGUCACUACGGUGGCGAAGUAGCUCAUGCCCCGCUUCCAGGAAAAGCCUCUAAGCUCUAGAUUAUCAUUAAUCGUACCCCAAACCGACACAGGUGGUCAGGUAGAGAAUACUCAGGCGCUUGAGAGAACUCGGGUGAAGGAACUAGGCAAAAUGGUGCCGUAACUUCGGGAGAAGGCACGCUGGCAUUAGGUGAAGUGGUUUACCCAUGGAGCUGAAGCCAGUCGCAGAUACCAGCUGGCUGCAACUGUUUAUUAAAAACACAGCACUGUGCAAACACGAAAGUGGACGUAUACGGUGUGACGCCUGCCCGGUGCUGGAAGGUUAAUUGAUGGGGUUAUCCGUAAGGAGAAGCUCUUGAUCGAAGCCCCAGUAAACGGCGGCCGUAACUAUAACGGUCCUAAGGUAGCGAAAUUCCUUGUCGGGUAAGUUCCGACCUGCACGAAUGGCGUAAUGAUGGCCAGGCUGUCUCCACCCGAGACUCAGUGAAAUUGAACUCGCUGUGAAGAUGCAGUGUACCCGCGGCAAGACGGAAAGACCCCGUGAACCUUUACUAUAGCUUGACACUGAACAUUGAGCCUUGAUGUGUAGGAUAGGUGGGAGGCUUUGAAGUGUGGACGCCAGUCUGCAUGGAGCCAACCUUGAAAUACCACCCUUUAAUGUUUGAUGUUCUAACGUAGCCCCAUAAUCUGGGGUGCGGACAGUGUCUGGUGGGUAGUUUGACUGGGGCGGUCUCCUCCCAAAGCGUAACGGAGGAGCACGAAGGUUGGCUAAGCAUGGUCGGACAUCAUGCGGUUAGUGCAAAGGCAUAAGCCAGCUUGACUGCGAGAGUGACGGCUCGAGCAGGUACGAAAGUAGGUCUUAGUGAUCCGGUGGUUCUGAAUGGAAGGGCCAUCGCUCAACGGAUAAAAGGUACUCCGGGGAUAACAGGCUGAUACCGCCCAAGAGUUCAUAUCGACGGCGGUGUUUGGCACCUCGAUGUCGGCUCAUCACAUCCUGGGGCUGAAGUAGGUCCCAAGGGUAUGGCUGUUCGCCAUUUAAAGUGGUACGCGAGCUGGGUUUAGAACGUCGUGAGACAGUUCGGUCCCUAUCUGCCGUGGGCGUUGGAAGAUUGAAAGGGGCUGCUCCUAGUACGAGAGGACCGGAGUGGACGCACCGCUGGUGUUCGGGUUGUCAUGCCAAUGGCACUGCCCGGUAGCUAAGUGCGGAAGAGAUAACCGCUGAAAGCAUCUAAGCGGGAAACUUGCCUUGAGAUGAGUCUUCCCUGACUCUUUAAGGGUCCUAAAGGAACGUUUAAGACGAAGACGUUGAUAGGCUGGGUGUGUAAGCGUAGCGAUACGUUGAGCUAACCAGUACUAAUGAACCGUGAGGCUUAACCUGACAACACCGAAGGUGUUUUAG